UUGCGGAUUUGUGUAUAAUUAUUUGGGCUGAAUCUUGGCCCGUACAGUGCUUUGAUUCUCCAACUGUAGCCGCCGUAAAAACUCAGGGUUCAUCUUCUCCUGUUAAAUCUUAUUAGUUCUACCAUCCAUGGAAGUUAAUAAGAGUAUGUAUCGUCGCAUCUAUUCUGGUACGUCUGUUUCGGUAUUGAUUCAUCUCAUUCAAUGAUUCUUACCCCUCUUCCAAGGGGUGCAUCUACACCUAUAAAAUGGGCGACGCACCAAAAAGUUGGCUUGGAGAGAAGCCAAUUCUAUCAAUUUCAUUGUUUUUCCAGUAGCUCAGAUAAGAAGAACACAUGGAUCUGAACAAAAAUUUCCAUGGCCACCGCUUCUGUCAUUAUGACUGAGUGAACGUCUCCACCUUAUCUGUGACACUUUACACACCUUCCACCUACAGCUUCGCCUCCUUCGAUAUCGUUUCAUCAUAGUGGUUGCUCAUUGAACACAACAGCAACAUACACCGAUAACAUUCUGUCAGGGAGACAGAUUAAUGGCUCUCAUUGGUGAGGUGGAUGAGACGAAGAUAAAGGUUGCUUCAAGGUGUGAAUGUUUUCUGAACUGAUCUGUUUUUAAAAUCUAUUAUUCAGAAAAUAUGAUUUUUCCCUGGGAUGUUGAUACGAUAGAAUUUUCUUAUCUUGCAUUAUUUCCUAUUUUCAGUAAUAUGUACCACGGUUUAAUAUUAAUCAACUAUUUUUCAUGGAAUGUUGUUCAAUAUAUGCUAAUUUGUUUAUGGGUUUGCA
Molecule: long non-coding RNA, 776 nt
Organism: Raphanus sativus (radish)
Lineage: Eukaryota; Viridiplantae; Streptophyta; Magnoliopsida; Brassicales; Brassicaceae
Exons: 3
Source: RefSeq, a predicted model, not a curated record